AUUGGAUCCGGCGCUCCCGGCAGGUACCCGGCGCCGCGUGUCCUUCCUCUGCUCGCAUCCUCACCGCGCCGCGCCCGGGGCUCCCUUUCUCUCUCUGUGCCCCACCGUCCCAGGACUGCGAGGUCCUUCACUUCUGCUUCCUCCAGAGCCUUCCGCCGUAAUGUCCGCACCCGCUGUUCCCUGCGCUUAGUCUCUCUUAGAGGUCAAAUUAGUGCGAGCGCCUCUGGUUACGUGGCGCUGACUCGCAGGCACUGCCACGCCCAGCUCUGUUCCGCUCUCCCCCGCCGAGCCUCUGUGCCACCCUCCAUGUGGCCACCUACCGCCAAAAACGUUCUUAGGAGCUCAAAAUGCUAUUUUUUUUUUAAAGUUCUGAAAUGGGAUUUGGAAAUAACAUGACAUUUUUCAAGCCUUGUUUUAAGAUACUGCCUAUAAUUACCCCAGACCAAAAAUGGCUAACGUUGCCCUUGUCCAGUAUGGCCUUGACGUUUUGGGUGCAUCUUGUUUUGUGCUAUUCCUUAGACCCUUUAAAAAUGCUGGGCUUUUGAAAUGGACUGUUUAAGACUUUUGCAGGAUGGAGCUUUGAGUGGGCAAGACUAGAAGACAGGAAAGGAUGGUCUUGAGUUAGGCUUGAGAAUAUUUUUACGUCUUCCCAAAAGAAAAAGUGAGCU
Molecule: long non-coding RNA, 668 nt
Filed under: Homo sapiens (human)
Lineage: Eukaryota; Metazoa; Chordata; Mammalia; Primates; Hominidae
Description: non-protein coding SRD5A3-AS1:30
Source: RNAcentral